AGGGUUUGAUUAUGGCUCAGGACGAACGCUGGCGGCGUGCCUAAUACAUGCAAGUAGAACGCUGAUGUUUGGUGUUUACACUAGACUGAUGAGUUGCGAACGGGUGAGUAACGCGUAGGUAACCUGCCUCAUAGCGGGGGAUAACUAUUGGAAACGAUAGCUAAUACCGCAUAAGAGUAAUUAACACAUGUUAGUUAUUUAAAAGGAGCAAUUGCUUCACUGUGAGAUGGACCUGCGUUGUAUUAGCUAGUUGGUGAGGUAAAGGCUCACCAAGGCGACGAUACAUAGCCGACCUGAGAGGGUGAUCGGCCACACUGGGACUGAGACACGGCCCAG
This 336-nucleotide ribosomal RNA is filed under the name uncultured bacterium. RNAcentral describes it as "bacterial SSU rRNA". It matches the Rfam family "Bacterial small subunit ribosomal RNA", at positions 8 to 334 of the family's 1533-position model. The record is from RNAcentral.